CCUACGAGUGGCAGCAGUGGGGACUAUUGCACAAUGGGGGAAACCCUGAUGCAGCGACGCCGCGUGGGUGAAGAAGUAUUUCGGUACGUAAAGCUCUAUCAGCAGGGAAGAAAAUGACGGUAUCUGACUAAGAAGCCCCGGCUAACUACGUGCCAGCAGCCGCGGUAAUACGGAGGGGGCAAGCGUUAUCCGGAUUUACUGGGUGUAAAGGGAGCGUAGACGUCAGCGCAAGUCUGGAGUGAAAUCCAAUGGCUUAACCAUGGAACUGCAUUUGAAAAUGUGCAGCUAGAGUGCAGGAGAGGUAAGCGGAAUUCCUAGUGUAGCGGUGAAAUGCGUAGAUAUUAGGAGGAACACGAGGGGCGAAGGCGGCUUACUGGACUGUAACUGACGUUGAGGCUCGAAAGCGUGGGGAGCAAACAGGAUUAGAUACCCUUGUAGUC
RNAcentral lists this ribosomal RNA (440 nucleotides) under uncultured bacterium. RNAcentral describes it as "partial 16S ribosomal RNA". It matches the Rfam family "Bacterial small subunit ribosomal RNA", at positions 338 to 795 of the family's 1533-position model. The record is from RNAcentral.